CAGUUCUUAUCUCACAGCCAGAAGGAUGUUCAGACCCUGCAGGACCUAGUUGAGUUGGCCAGGGAAGGACUUACCCUCACUCAGUGGAACCUUGAUGUUGAUCACAUUCAGGCAGUGGAGCAGCCAGGAAAAGAAAUGACUUCCUGUGAUACUCCACAUAGUGGCUUUGUCCCCCCAUCCAAAGAGAAGAGCCUUCUGACGAGCAGCUGGAAAAGAUCCUCUCUCAGGUUGCUGGCUGAAGAUUUCAGUGCAAUGGUCAACAACCCCCACUUGAGUGAUGUCCAGUUCCAGGUGGACUCUGGGGAAGUCCUUUACGCCCACAUGUUUGUGUUGUACGCACGGUGUCCACAGGCCAUUCAAGUUGU
Balearica regulorum gibbericeps (East African grey crowned-crane) is the source of this 365-nucleotide non-coding RNA. The record is from RefSeq and is a predicted model, not a curated record. NCBI's taxonomy places the organism in Eukaryota, Metazoa, Chordata, Aves, Gruiformes, Gruidae.